GUAGGUGGCAAGCGUUGUCCGGAGUUAUUGGGCGUAAAGCGCGCGCAGGUGGUUCUUUAAGUCUGAUGUGAAAGCCCCCGGGCUCAACCGGGGAGGGUCAUUGGAAACUGGGGAACUUGAGUGCAGGAGAGGAAAGUGGAAUUCCACGUGUAGCGGUGAAAUGCGUAGAUAUGUGGAGGAACACCAGUGGCGAAGGCGACUUUCUGGCCUGUAACUGACACUGAGGCGCGAAAGCGUGGGGAGCAAACAGGAUUAGAUACCCUGGUAGUCCACGCCGUAAACGAUGAGUGCUAAGUGUUGGGGGGUUUCCGCCCCUCAGUGCUGCAGCUAACGCAUUAAGCACUCCGCCUGGGGAGUACGGUCGCAAAGACUG
This 373-nucleotide ribosomal RNA is filed under the name uncultured organism. RNAcentral describes it as "partial 16S ribosomal RNA". It matches the Rfam family "Bacterial small subunit ribosomal RNA", at positions 527 to 896 of the family's 1533-position model. The record is from RNAcentral.